This 217-nucleotide ribosomal RNA is filed under the name uncultured bacterium. Its description in RNAcentral is "partial 16S ribosomal RNA". It matches the Rfam family "Bacterial small subunit ribosomal RNA", at positions 1284 to 1500 of the family's 1533-position model. The record is from RNAcentral.
CAUCCCAGUUCGGAUUGCAGGCUGCAACCCGCCUGUAUGAAGUUGGAAUCGCUAGUAAUCGCGGAUCAGCAUGCCGCGGUGAAUACGUUCCCGGGCCUUGUACACACCGCCCGUCACACCAUGAGAGUCGGGAACACCCGAAGUCCGUAGCCUAACCGCAAGGAGGGCGCGGCCGAAGGUGGGUUCGAUAAUUGGGGUGAAGUCGUAACAAGGUAAC